Phoenix dactylifera (date palm) is the source of this 5079-nucleotide long non-coding RNA. RefSeq lists it as uncharacterized. The record is from RefSeq and is a predicted model, not a curated record. NCBI's taxonomy places the organism in Eukaryota, Viridiplantae, Streptophyta, Magnoliopsida, Arecales, Arecaceae.
UAUUUUCCAUUUCCGCUCCCUACAGCUUUCCUCCUCCUCCUUUGCUUCCCCUUCGUCUCGAUUCCAUGGCUUCCGCUUCUCUCUUGGGAAGUUCAUACCUUCAACACCGCCCAUUCUUUGAAGCACGCAACGGUUCCGAGGUCUCGGUUCCCAUCCAUGAAACCCGAAACCCCUUAAAACCCCAAUGCUCUUCGACGCCGGAGUCGUCUUGUUCCAUAGUUCUUCCACUCCUUUCCUUCGAAUCGGUGAUGCUCUAGCUUCUCUUUAUGUGCACUCCAAGGGGAAAACGUUGCUUGCUUUUCUAUAAAAAUCCUUCCUUUUCCGGGUCCAAUUGCUUAAAUUAGGUUGUAUUUUUUAUUUUGAUUUUAACCAUGUCAACCAAGUUUCGCGUGCUUUAUAUAAUGGUAUAGUAAUUGGAUUCAGAUUUCAGAUGCGUCUAGUUAACCUUUCUUGAAAACUGAACUAAAAUUACUGGUUAAAUGAUAACAAGUGUUAAUAUUAAAUGUUUUGCUGUAGAUCUCUAUACUGCUAUCCUUUUUUCCUCUUAUAUUUUUCUCUUAGCUUAUCAUGUACCAUUGGAUGUUGUAAUCUCUUUGAGAUCGAGCUCAUUUGAUUGGUCUAGAAGAAUCUAUUUUAACAAAUCAUUAGAGGAAAUAGAAAAAGGGAAUCUGCUUUUGCUGUGAUGUUGUCAAUUAUUAAGACUUCUGGCUUAGCGCUUACAUGAGCAGAGGAAGAGUUUUAAGUUGAUGAUAAGGGUAAUUCGUCAAAGAUUGUGAUGAAAGAUGUGCACUGCUUUUACAUAAUCUUUGCUUUAGACUACAUGUUGGAAGAAUCAGUUGUUGACUAGAAUUAGGGUAGGAUUCUAGGAAUUCAGCGUUUGACCUAGAGAACGCUUUUAAAAACACCAAUGAGGUUAAAAACACCAAUGAGGUUUUCUUGUUAGAUACUUUCCCUUUUACUUUUUUUAUAAACAAAUCAUGGUGGGAACAAUAUUGAUAAUUAUUUCAUAAAAAUGAUGAAAGGAUUAGGAUGCUAAAAGUUGAAUACCACUUGCACUGGACCUCCCGGAGACAGAGCAAGUGAUGGAACUAAAUGCUAGGGCAUACCCUGUCUUCUUGUUGUAGUAUGUUGUUAUGACAAAUGAGAUUUGGGCCCAAGUAGAUGGGUGAGUGUUUAAAUGCAUCAAGUUUACCUCUUUACACUUUCUCGUUCAUGACCCACCAAAAGGUUUUCUCCAUAUCAGUAAGGGUUUGAGGAAAGAAGAUGACCUGCAUCUGCCUCUCUUUACCCAGAUUAUGGAAGUAUUCACUGAGGUGCAUCAGAAGCUUUUGAGGAAUACUUUCUUAAAAAAAUUUUAACAGAGGGAGAUACACUUGCCAACACACAUUAUGUUGAUGAUUGGUCGAUAUCUUCUUUACCGUCCGCUCCUUGGUCAUAGGAUUUUAUAUCUAUACAAAUUCAAUUUCCUAUCUUUUUGUGGAUUGAUGUCUAGAUGUGUAUAAUGAGAAAUAUUAGUUGGACAAACCAAGGAUAAUAAGAACAGUUGUGAUUAAAAUGCUCCAGAGGAGUAAUGGAAGUCCAUGUAGAUACCUCAAUUAUCUGAACGUUUUUUCUGUCAAAUGUAUGUUAUAACAAGAUCUUCAAUCUUCUUAAGCUAACACUGCUCACAAAUGCGUUCUCCUUUUUUAUUUAAAAUUCCCAGUCUUUUUAAAUCUUGCUGAGGGAGAUAUCAUUAUUAUCUUUCCAAUUUGUUGACUUCUAUAAUGAACAAGUAACUUUGAGCCUCUGCAAAUCAUAAAUUUGCAUUCUCUUAUGCCCAUGAGCCAAUGAGUCUUUGUGAUGCUUCCCAUCUUUUCUCUCUCCAGAAAUUUUUAACUUAUGCUACAUCAGUACUAGUGAUUUUCAUUUCUUUUGUUUGAUUAAAAUUUCCCGUUAGCUUGUUUCAGUUCUUGCAGUAGAAGGUUCCACUUAUGCAAGAUACAGAGCUUCUUUUGUAGCUAGAAAAUCCUUUUCACGAGCCCCUCUAAUAAUCUGCUAAUUGACUCACAUACAUGGAGCAAACUGAUACCUCUUUAAAUGCAAAUUCUUCUUAAUGUGUAUGCCAUGCUAUUUUUUUUUCAGUGGACCAUCUUGUAGGAGUAAACUGUAUCGCCUUCUAUAAUUAGUUAAUGUAUCGAUCUCAGUUGCCAGUUAUGGCCAAGACUCAAAUCACAUGCUUAUAAUAUUCCUCUGGGUUUGGCGUCUGAGUGGGCUGGUGAAUGCUUGCAUUCAAAGCAUUUUCCAUCUUUCUUCACUCAGUCUUUUAGUUCCACUUUUAUGUGAUAGGUUUUAUAGCUAGGACUUCUAUUUAUUUUUAAUUCUUCACUCUCUCAGACUUAGAGGUAUUAUAACCAUAAGCAACAAAACUUAUCUCACAUUUUAAAUUCUUGACUAGGACUUCCUAUUUAUAGCUACAUCUGCUAUCAGCAUAAGCUUAUUGAAAUACCAUGUUACAAUGCCUAUCCAGGUUAUUUUACAUAUCUUACUUUGUAUGAUUCAUCCUCUGAAACAAAUCAGAGUCCAUCUUCCUAUGUCUUUUCAUAUAUGCUUUGCACAUGCCCAUAUCAUCUCAGUUAGUCCUUUGCCUUUGUAUUGCAAUUGGUGCGGUCCUUAUGUUUCCUCUACUCCUUUUAUGCAUCCUUUCCUAGUUAGCCCACAUGAAACACAACAUUUAGAACCAGAAUUACAUUUUAGUCGCUCAAUCUCUAGGUUAGCAUAUAUACUUGUCGCUAGACAUAAGAUCUUCCUCUUUUUAUAAUGUGCAUCGUAUAAUUGCCCAUGAGAAACUAACCACAGCACCUGGAUUCCAGAUCUGUAUACCAUUCACCUCUUCUGGCACAUGAUCUAAUAUCCCUUCUUUUUUGAUUAUUCUAUGGGCAUGCAGCUUUAGUGCUGCUUCUUUGUUUCCUGCCAAUAAAGGGUCCUGAAUUCUAUCUGGAGGCAGUCUUGCUCAUCUCACUAAUUAAAUAUAUACAUCAUUACUAGAAUGCUCAUCAUCCAUGUCUUCAGUUCUUCAAUAUCAACCUUCUGUUCACUUAUGGCCUCUGUUGUUCUAAUAUAUAAGUUGGGAACCACAGAACCCAAUGUGUUGUUUACAUGCAUUUUUGAUUAUUAGAAUGAUGACACAGGCAUAGUUUACACACCUUGCUUUCAUAGGCGCGAUAUAUGUGCUUCUAUGUAACAAUUACAAACUUAUAUCUUGGUUGAUCAUAAUACAAUGGACAUAAAUCUGUGCAAUUGCAGCCCUUUAUGGUGUCUGAAUGUGUCCACAUCUAUAAGAAAGCAGUACAAGGUAUCAACUUUUGCAAGUUUGACUCUUUCAGGUGAAGCGAAGUAUAUUUAUUGAAAUUAAUUCACUUGUUUCCUUUAUUUUAAUCUGUGGAAAGAUAAAAUAGAAACUUAUUCUUGUCGAUUAUGUUAUUUGUUAUGUGAGAUUCUGUUUAAUUGAAACUUGUCUAAUAUGUGUCAAUAAUGUAAGUUAACAUCUUUGAUGAUAUCCCUUUUGCUGUGCUGGAAAAGUGAGAACCUGUAAACUGAAUAUUGCUUCUUCUAAGGGAAACUUAUGUCACGAAAAGUAGAUAUUUUAAUCUUUUAGUUGCGAUUAUUUAAGUCCACAUUUUCUGUUUUGUAAUUGACCUUGGUUGCUGAGGAUUUUUAUUUUGUUGGAGGCAAAAGACUGGUGCUUUCUCUUGGUCUGGGGGUCUAGGAGCUUGUUGGCAUACAACCCUUUGCUUCUUGUUACCUGUCCUUUAUGGGUUCUUUUUUCAUCUUUUCUUUUUAAGUUAUUUUGGGCUUGAAGGGCUGUAUGUGUUUGGGCCGGUUUUUGGGACCUCUCUUCUGCUGCUCUCCGUCAUCUCCUUUAUUUCCUUUCUUUUUUCCCCCUGUUUCCUUUCUAUCAUUUCUUUUUCUUAAUGAAAUAUUGAUGACAACAUCACCAACAUGGGAGAGGUCCCGUGUUAAAUUCCAGCUGCUGGUAUAUCGGCCAUAUUCUUUUGAGAAAAAAGGGAGAAGGAAAAAACCUUCAACAACAGCAAAGUUUGAUUGGGAGCUGAAGUCACCUACAGGGAAAGAGCAAAAGCAGUAACUCAGGGACAGCAAGAUGCUAUUGCUUUGUUGCAGGUUGAUGCCUUUGUUCUUUCCUUCAGGUUCAUAUUUACACUUUUUGUGUUUCUCUUUUGACUGUUUCAUUGCAUCAAGCUCCUUAGGAGUACUCGAGAAGUAGCAAUCGUCCGAGGUGGCGAACAAUCAGAGAGAGAACAAAAUCCAGGCCUAGCACAGCAGGUUAUGUGGACGACUGUGAUGCAAUUAUAUCUUUCUAAGGAACCUGUUAAUUCAUACACUGCAAAGAUGAACUGAAUUAUCAACAACAACUAUUUCUUCAUGCUCUCUUGCGGUAUCAAUUUUAAUUUUUUGUGAUUAUAGAGAAUGUGCUAAUGUAUAAGCCCUUCUUGUUCGAGUCACAGUUCAGUUUGGAGGUUCCUGCAGGUCGAGAACUGCACGAUCUAACAUGAACAGAUCCAUGUGAAUUGUGCCUUCCUUGAUGCCCAUGCAGACAUGAUUCCCCUAGCCUUGGGGUCGAAUCAAUGGUACCUUAUGGCAUGCAUUGUGAGGUAGUUAAUUUGCAUGAAUCUGCAACCUAAACCAUGAUCUGUUAGUUGUCCCGGUGACAAGCUGAUGGUGCCUCUAGUUACUCCUUGCGGAGACCAACAUACAACUAGCAAAUGGGACACACGUCCUAGGGGAGAUGCACCGCCAGACUCUGUAUUUUUAUAGUAGAUUUCGAGGAGAUGCACCGCCAGAGUCUGUAUUUUUAUAGUAGAUUUCAGAGAGUUUGAGAAUGGGAGGUAUUGCACCACUGUUGGGCAUUAAUAUUUCAGUCCAUGAAUUUUUUUUCUUCUCCCCCUCUCCAAGUCUAUGAAUCUCUUAGCUUAUAGAGUCUGAUUGGCAUUGGAUUGGAAAAAGAAUGUGUAUUUUAAUUUUCACCAAGGCUUCUUGUUCAAAUGAGUGCCUAUAAAGCUGGUCUAAAACGAAUUGAUCUGA